Non-coding RNA from Oryctolagus cuniculus (rabbit), 2956 nucleotides. Lineage: Eukaryota; Metazoa; Chordata; Mammalia; Lagomorpha; Leporidae. The record is from RefSeq and is a predicted model, not a curated record.
GACUGUGGGAGUUUUGAGGAAGCCUGGUUAGGUGUGCUGUAAUUGGGGUUUGUCUUACUUUCUCUCAUGAUUGGACUUGGAUAAUGGGCUUUAUAUAUGAAGAACACCAAGCAAAAUGUCUUCUCACCACAUCAUAGCAAGGGUGCAUGAGACUAAGAGUCAACACACACAUCGCUGUUGACAAGGGACUGGACCCCUGUGUAGACAGGGCUCCUCAAUGCUGAUGCGAACUUGAACCCCAACACCAGACAGGCUCAUCACUGGUUAUGCCAACCUGGACCCAACAGAAGACAGGCGCACCACUGGUGAUGUCAACCUGGACCCCAAGAGUCCACCCCCUGUCCACUGCUGAUGUCAGCCCUGCCCCCUGGAGGAGGCCGUGUGUUCACUGUGGAGUCCCCUUCACCGCUGCUGGCCUUCUGUACUCUGUGGACGCAAAUCUGGCAGUUCAGCCACACUCAGGAGGGAGCCUUCCCUCAAGCGCUUGGUCUUCCGUGAGACUGUCUACUUCUCAUGUGGUUUUUUUUUUCUGUAGAUUCUACUUAUUUAUUUGAGAGGUAGAGUUACAGUGAAAGGGAGAGACAGAGGGAGAGAGAGAGAGAAGUCCUCCAUCCACAGGUUCACUCCCCAAAUGGCCGCAACGGCUGGAGCUGGGCCGAUCUGAAGCCAGGAGCCAGGAGCCUCUCCUGGGUCUCCCACAUGGGUGCAGGGGCCCAAGCACCUUGGCCAUCCUCCACUGCCCUCUCAGGCCAUAGCAGAGACCCAGAUCAGAAGAGGAGUAGCUGGGACUAGAAUCAGUGCCCAUAUGGGAUGCCAGCAUUGCAGGCAGAGGAUUAACCUACUGCACCACAACACCAGCCUUCCUCAUCUGUUUACUUAGGACUCAUGAAUACUUGCUUAUAUGUUGGGUUUUAAUCUGAUACAAUAUUUAUCUUUUUGGUCAAAUUGCUCUGGCUUUGGCCAUUGGCAGCUCUUUCAGGCUGGCCCCUGUCCGUUGGACACACCCUCAUGCUUUCAAAUAAGUGUAGCCAUCCAUGGGAGAAUAUUUCUGACAUCUAAUCAUUGUAGGUAUCUCAGAAUUAAAUUUACUACGUGCCGUCUUCCAAUGCUAAUCCCAACUAUAUGACUUCCCUUCCACAGUGACAUUUGAUUCUCAUCAGGAAAGACUAUAGAUUUCCUUAGUCAAGCAAAUCAUCAUUGUGAGAGAAGACUGACUGAGUUCCAGUGCAGAGUGAACAGUGAGAGAGAGAGACAGAGAGAAAGGUCUUCCUUUACCGCUGGUUCACCCUCCAAUGGCCGCCGCGGCCAGCACACUGUGGCCGGCGCACCGUGCUGAUCUGAAGCCAGGAGCCAGGUGCUUCUCCUGGUCUCCCAUGCAGGUGCAGGGCCCAAGUACUUGGGCCAUCCUCCACUGCACUCCCUGGCCACAGCAGAGAGCUGGCCUGGAAGAGGGGCAACCGGGACAGAAUCCAGCACUCCGACCAGGACUAGAACCCGGUGUGCCGGCGCCGCAGGCGGAGGAUUAGCCUAUUGAGCAGUGGCGCCGGCCUGUUCAUAACAUUUUUACAUGUAAUAGCCCAAAACUGAAAAUGCAACCUAAAUAUCCAACAAAUGAGUAAAUGGAUUUAAAAAAGCUAUACUAUGUACAAACAAUGAAGGACAAUUCAGCAAAAAUCCAAAACAAAUUCAAAAAUAAAGUUCUGUAAAGUACAACAACAUGAAUGCAUCUAAAAAUAAUCACAGUGAGUGAAAGAAGCCAGGCCAAAAAUGACUACAUACUCUAUUCUACUGUACAAAAUUUUUGAAAAUGCACGCUAGUCUGUAUGACAAAAAGCUUAUUAGUAGUUGGGGCCAGCAUUGUGGCAUAGCGGGUAAACCCACUGCCUGCCAUGCCAGCAUCCCAUAUGAGUGCCAGUUCGUAUCCCAGUUGCUCCACUUUCAACCCAGCCCCCUGUUAAUGGUCUGGGAAAAGCAAAUGGAAGAUGGCCCAAGUGCUUGGGCUGCUGCUACCACAUGGGAGACCCAGAUGAAGUUCCUGGCUCCUGGCUUCAGCUUGGCUCAACCCUGACCAUUGCAGCCAUCUGGGGUGCAAUGGGGUGAAGCAGCAAAUGGGAGACCUCUCUGUUUCUUCUCUCCCUCUGUCUCUGUAAAUCUGAAUUUCAAAUAAAUAAAUAAAUUUUGAAAAAAGCCUAUUAGUUGCCACCUACUGAGUGAUAGACAGUUAAGUAGGAAUUACAAAGGAGUACAAAGAAACUUCUGAGGGUGAUUGUUACAUUCAAUGUCUUGAUUAUGGUGUGGUUUCAUGGGUGUAAACAUGUCAAAUCUUAUCAAAUUUUCCACUUUAAAUGUGCAGUGUAUUAUGUUGCAUAUUAUACCUCAAUUGAGACGUUUUUAAAAGCUAUGAAUCAAAUAAAGUGUAAUCAUAGAUAUGAAUAUUAUUUACACAGUCAUACUAAUACAAGCACUGAGAAUUAGUUUAACCAAAAUUGUGAGCUAGUCUUUUUUGAGGAGACUAGAGGCUGGAUUGUUUCAUUUGCAUUAUUCUGAUCUCCAGCAAAGUUCUGCAUUGUGUCACAUACUCAUUGAUCUUAGAAAUUUUUCCCCUUUCUGUUAAUUGUGUCCUCGUGCACUUAGCUAAUUUUGACAGGCUUUCCUGUGCUAUCCUCACUAAUGUAAAGGAGUUCCUUGUAUAUUCCAGAUACCAGUCCCUUUUUGGUUACACAUGCUGCAAUAUUUCAUCUCAGGCUGUCUCUGCCUAUUAAUUCCUUCUAACUCCUUCCCCUUCCUUGCAGGGCACCUCACCUCCCCUGUCCAAAACAUCAGACAGGUCACAACUUCAAUCGACAUUCUACAUCUAUAAUUUUAACUUACACUCACAGCUGUCUUAAAAUCUAAUAUUCUGAGUAAACUACAAAGGCUGUGUGAUUCUGUAAUAGAGAAUCAAUGAGUCUUCAUG